This 1445-nucleotide long non-coding RNA is filed under the name Haliotis rubra (blacklip abalone). RNAcentral's name for it is "uncharacterized LOC124285753, transcript variant X3". The record is from RNAcentral. Lineage: Eukaryota; Metazoa; Mollusca; Gastropoda; Lepetellida; Haliotidae.
AAGAUAACACAGGGAGCGAAGAUAACACAAGUAAGAUAACACAGGGGAGCGAAGAUAACACAAGUAAGAUAACACAGGGAGUAAAGAUAACACAGCAAAGAUAACACAGGGAGUGAAGAUAACACAGGGAGCAAAGAUAACACAGGGAGCGAAGAUAACACAGGGAGUGAAGAUAACACAAGUAAGAUAACACAGGGAGUGAAGAUAACACAGGGAGCAAAGAUAACACAGGGAGCGAAGAUAACACAAGUAAGAUAACACAGGGAGCAAAGAAGAUAACACAAUGAAGAUAACACAGGGAGCAAAGAUAACACAGGGAGCGAAGAUAACACAGCAAAGAUAACACGGAGUGAAGAUAACACAAGUAAGAUAACACAGGGAGUGAAGAUAACACAAGUAAGAUAACACAGGGAGUGAAGAUAACACAAAGUGAUCGUAGGUCUUCGAUGGUCGUAAGUCUAUGUUAUUGCAUAGGAGUUAGGAUAGUCGUAGCACUACGAUCGCUUUGUAAAACGGUGCCCUGAACACAAUUAGAAUAUGAAUUAUUACGUGUAUAAGUGUAUCAUAAAUGGUAUCAUUUCUGUUGAUUCUCAAUGCAAUGUAUAUCUGGGACGUGUUUCAUGAAGUGAAUCGUAGGUCUUCGAUGGUCGUAAGUCUAUGUUAUUGCAUAGGAGUAAGGAAAGUCGUAGCACUAUGAUUGCUUUGUAAAACAGUGCCCUGAACACAAUUAGAAUGUGAAUUAUUACAUGUACAUAAGUGUAUCAUAUAUGGUAUCAUGUCUGUAGAUUCUCAAUGCAAUGAAACUUGUGUUUAAACGGCCAUAGUUUAACGUGUUUGGCCUUGACUGGGAAUACAACAGGGGAGAGUACACUUUACGACAAAUAACACUACUACCAGAACGAUUAUUGUCAGCGCUCAUUAAACUGGCUACACCCAGUUAACAUAUUUCCGUAUUUUUUUUUCCUUUUUUGUGAGUGAUGAUAUGACCAAUGACUUUCCUGUUUGUGCCCAACGUGUUGUCUUGGUGUUGAUCCUGGAGGAUGUUCAUGGAGAUGUCGCCGUCUUCCAUAUUGCUUCAUUACGACACAGUAAAUGUGCUGCUGCUAGUGUUGUCCUGUGUCCCUGUGUGACGUUACUGUGUAUUACUGGGUACUGGCCGAAACCAGAGAGAGGCGGAUGCCAUCUUGACCCUUGAAAACACUACAUGAAAGAUAUUCCCCUGAGACGGUCUAACCCGACAAUAUGUACAACGUACAGCCAAUAUGCAGACAUCAGACAAGUCAGUAGUGUUUCUCACUAUUAAAGGCCGUCAAAUCUUAUGAUUAAAGGCGGCUCAUCAUAUCAUUAAGCACAUUAGAUGAAACACCGAGAACAAGUAGGGCUGCUCUAAGUUAACACUCAUCACGUACUGCACAUGCAUUUGUUUCACUGUUCCAUCUACUGCG